GAGUUUGAUCCUGGCCAGGACGAACGCUGGCGGCGUGCCUAACACAUGCAAGUCGAACGGGGUCCAUGAGAGCUUGCUCUCGGACGACCUAGUGGCGAACGGGUGAGUAACACGUGAGAAACCUGCCUUGGAGUGGGGAAUAACUCGGGGAAACUCGAGCUAAUACCGCAUACCUUCCUUUGAUCGCAUGGUCAGCUGAAGAAAGAAUUUCGCUCCAAGAGGGUCUCGCGGCCUAUCAGUUUGUUGGUGGGGUAACGGCCUACCAAGACUACGACGGGUAGCUGGUUUGAGAGAACGAUCAGCCACACUGGAACUGAGACACGGUCCAGACUCCUACGGGAGGCAGCAGUGGGGAAUCUUGCGCAAUGGGCGAAAGCCUGACGCAGCAACGCCGCGUGCGGGAUGAAGGCCUUCGUGGUUGUAAACCGCUUUCAGCAGGGACGAAAAUGACGGUACCUGCAGAAGAAGCCCCGGCUGACUACGUGCCAGCAGCGCGGUAA
RNAcentral lists this ribosomal RNA (500 nucleotides) under uncultured Actinomycetes bacterium. RNAcentral's name for it is "bacterial SSU rRNA". It matches the Rfam family "Bacterial small subunit ribosomal RNA", at positions 9 to 523 of the family's 1533-position model. The record is from RNAcentral. Lineage: Bacteria; Bacillati; Actinomycetota; Actinomycetes.